UUCCGGUUGAUCCUGCCGGACCCCACUGCUAUCGGGAUGGGACUAAGACAUGCUAGUCGUGCGUCUCCAAGCCAUGGUGGAGACGCGGCGUACAGCUCAGUAACACGUGGCUAACCUACCCUUGGGACGGGGACAACCCCGGGAAACUGGGGCUAAUCCCCGAUAGGUGAGGAUUCCCGGAAUGGGUCCUCGCCGAAAAGGCGUCUAGACCAUGCUUCUAGGCGCUGCCCAAGGAUGGGGCCGCGGCCGAUCAGGUUGUUGGUGAGGUAACGGCUCACCAAGCCUAAGACCGGUACGGGCCGUGGGAGCGGGAGCCCGGAGAUGGACACUGAGACAAGGGUCCAGGCCCUACGGGGCGCAGCAGUCGCGAAACCUCCGCAAUACGCGAAAGCGUGACGGGGCCAUCCCGAGUGCUGUCCGCUGAGGACGGCUUUUCCCCAGUGUAGAUAGCUGGGGGAAUAAGGGGAGGGCAAGUCGGGUGUCAGCCGCCGCGGUAAAACCAGC
Molecule: ribosomal RNA, 504 nt
Filed under: uncultured crenarchaeote
Lineage: Archaea; Thermoproteati; Thermoproteota
Description: bacterial SSU rRNA
Rfam family: Archaeal small subunit ribosomal RNA
Source: RNAcentral